This 495-nucleotide ribosomal RNA is filed under the name uncultured bacterium. RNAcentral's name for it is "partial 16S ribosomal RNA". It matches the Rfam family "Bacterial small subunit ribosomal RNA", at positions 28 to 507 of the family's 1533-position model. The record is from RNAcentral.
GACGAACGCUGGCGGCGUGCCUAAUACAUGCAAGUAGAACGCUGAAGGAGGAGCUUGCUUCUCUGGAUGAGUUGCGAACGGGUGAGUAACGCGUAGGUAACCUGCCUGGUAGCGGGGGAUAACUAUUGGAAACGAUAGCUAAUACCGCAUAAGAGUAGAUGUUGCAUGACAUUUGCUUAAAAGGUGCAAUUGCAUCACUACCAGAUGGACCUGCGUUGUAUUAGCUAGUUGGUGGGGUAACGGCUCACCAAGGCGACGAUACAUAGCCGACCUGAGAGGGGGAUCGGCCACACUGGGACUGGGACACGGCCCAGACUCCUACGGGAGGCAGCAGUAGGGAAUCUUCGGCAAUGGCCGGAAGUCUGACCGAGCAACGCCGCGUGAGUGAAGAAGGUUUUCGGAUCGUAAAGCUCUGUUGUAAGAGAAGAACGAGUGUGAGAGUGGAAAGUUCACACUGUGACGGUAGCUUACCAGAAAGGGACGGCUAACUACGUG